CUUACAAGCUGUGGAAGCACAUUUCUUGUGUGACCGCGUACUUUUUGUAGAACGGGCCAACGAGUUACGUUAAGUAGCAAGGUUAAGCACUUAAGGUGCGGAGCCGUAGCGAAAGCGAGUUUUAACUGAGCGUUCAGUUAUUUGACGUAGACCCGAAACCGGGCGACCUACCCAUGAGCAGGAUGAAGCGAAAGUAAAAUUUCGUGGAGGUCCGAACCCACGAGCGUUGAAAAGCUCGGGG
This 241-nucleotide ribosomal RNA is filed under the name Clostridioides difficile. RNAcentral describes it as "partial 23S ribosomal RNA". It matches the Rfam family "Bacterial large subunit ribosomal RNA", at positions 563 to 803 of the family's 2925-position model. The record is from RNAcentral. Lineage: Bacteria; Bacillati; Bacillota; Clostridia; Peptostreptococcales; Peptostreptococcaceae.